GAUGAACGCUAGCGUUAGGCUUAACACAUGCAAGUCGAGGGGCGGCACAAGGUAGCUUGCUAUCUGGGUGGCGACCGGCGCACGGGUGCGUAACGCGUAUGCAACUUGCCCUAUACAGGAGGAUAACCCGUCGAAAGACGGACUAAUACUGCGUAUGCUCACAACUUGGCAUCAAGUGGUGAGGAAAGAAAUUCGGUAUAGGAUAGGCAUGCGUCCCAUUAGCUUGUUGGUGAGGUAACGGCUCACCAAGGCAACGAUGGGUAGGGGAACUGAGAGGUUUAUCCCCCACACUGGUACUGAGACACGGACCAGACUCCUACGGGAGGCAGCAGUGAGGAAUAUUGGUCAAUGGGCGCGAGCCUGAACCAGCCAAGUCGCGUGAAGGAUGACUGUCUUAUGGAUUGUAAACUUCUUUUAUACGGGAAUAACAAGAGUCACGUGUGACUCCCUGCAUGUACCGUAUGAAUAAGCAUCGGCUAACUCCGUG
Molecule: ribosomal RNA, 487 nt
Filed under: uncultured bacterium
Lineage: Bacteria
Description: partial 16S ribosomal RNA
Rfam family: Bacterial small subunit ribosomal RNA
Source: RNAcentral